This is a long non-coding RNA of Equus caballus (horse), 1807 nucleotides long. Lineage: Eukaryota; Metazoa; Chordata; Mammalia; Perissodactyla; Equidae. The record is from Ensembl.
UGGGCAGGCAUGUCUGUGAGAAAAGAGGGCAGGAAAAUGACCAGUGCUGGGGGCAGGGCCGCCCUGAGGCACAAGGCGAGGCUUCCAUGCAGCCUCACAUAUGUCACUGUGACAGCAGCUAGGGACAAGCUCGGUACUAAGUUGUUGCAUGACCUUGCCCCAGUCACUUUUUCUUUCUCAGCCUCAGUUGCUUCAUCUAUAAAAUGGGUGGAGUUAGGUUAAUAAUUUCCCAAAGUGUGCUCAACAGAAUGAUAACCUCAAAUCAUGCCCCUGGCGAUUCAGCGUACUCCAGCUUAUUCAAUGCCCUGACAAGUCCUGCACAGCAAUAGAACUGCUGACUUGGCCUAACCCAUCUUCUUUUAACCUUUCUGGACCACACAGCCUUUUAAGUAAGGUCAGUUAACAUCCCUUGGGCCAGUGGAACAGGCCUUGGCUAAUUUUCAAGUCUCUUCUGGUGCUGGGGGUCAGGAGGCCUGGUUAGUUGUGUGCUCCCUGGAGUUGAUAAGGCCCCUGCCCUUUGCUUCCCCAGCUAUCAGAGAACAUCAGUUCUCAUGGCCAAGCGUGGUAAUUUCUUGGCUUUCCAACAGCUCUCUUUCCUUUCUAGUUUUCCGGGGGGAAUCACCUUUCCUGCUCUCAUUCCACGUGACUUGGGUCAGGCUGGCCACACCACCUGGCUCCAGGGGGGUACACACACCUAGGCCUGUCCAAUGAGGUAACACAUCCUCUUGGCCACAGUGAUUAGUUCAUUGUGGGCAUGGACCCUAGUGUGGCCGACCAGAAAGAACUCUGUCACUUUUGCUGGAAAGAUCAGGAAAGAAAUGGUGCCUCUAUCCUGCUGUGGUUGCACAGCAGGAGGUCGUCUCUUCUUCCAUUUGGGGAUAGCCUGCCAGAGAGAUACCAAGAGAAGGCAGAGCUGAAGAUGGUGACAAACAGCUACUUGACAACAUCACUGAUGGUCUGGAUCCAGCCAUUCCUGAAGCCAUGCACAAGAGUACUGAGGCAGCGACUGUCUUUCCUCCUCACUAGAGGAGGCAGCUGAGGAAUGGCCACCGGACUCUCUGCAAGAUGGUCACUCACUCGAGACACUGUGCUGAGCACUCUCCGCCUGCCACGUGCUGUUCCAGGCACUGUUCCAGGCCCAGGGUGGAGCAGUGACGAGGAUGGACCAUGCCCCUGCUCUUGUGGAACUGAAGCUCUUGUCCAGGGAGACAGCAACAGACAGGAAAACACAAACACAAUGCACCGGACUGAAUGCUUGCGUCCCCAGAUUCCUGUGUUGAAACCCUGACCCCCCGUGUGGUGGCAUUAGGAGGUGAUUAGAUGGUUAGGUGAUUAGGGUGGAGCCCUCGUGAGUGGGAUUAGUGCCCUUACAAAAGGGACUCCAGCCAGCACUCUCUCUCCCCACCACGUGAAGGGCAAGGAGAAAACGGCCACCUGCAACGUGAAAGCAGACCCUCCCCAGAAGCCGCCCACGUGGGCACCCUGAUCUCAGACUUCCGGCCUCCAGAACCGCGGGAAGUAAAUUCCUGCCACCCAGUUGAUGGCACGUUGUUAUGGCAGCCUGAACUAAAAUACACAAUGAUUUCAGAGAGAUACGAAGCAACUUGGAGUGGGGUGGGGACAAUGUCUGACAACGCAGGGAUGGUCUCUCCGACAAAACACACUUGAUCUGAGGCCCUGAUGUGACACAGGGGCAGACUGGGAGAUGACCAGAGGAAGGGGGACGCUGGCAGAGGGAAUAGCAAGCGCCAACACCCCGAGGAGGGAACAGCCUGGCUUGCAUGAGGCCCAGGUGGCUGGUGUGGAU